RNAcentral lists this ribosomal RNA (637 nucleotides) under Tetranychus truncatus. RNAcentral's name for it is "12S ribosomal RNA". The record is from RNAcentral. Lineage: Eukaryota; Metazoa; Arthropoda; Arachnida; Trombidiformes; Tetranychidae.
AUUUUAUAAUAUAAUUUAAAAAAUAUAAAUUAUAUAUAAACAUAAAAAAAUAAUAAUAAAAAAAAUUAAUAUAAUAAAAUGAAUUAAUAAAAUAUUUUUUUAUAGCGUGCCAGCAAAAGCGGUUAAACGAUUAAUUUAAAUUAUUUAUAAAAUUAAACUGAAUUUAAACAAAAAAAGAUUUUUUUAAGUAAAAUAAAAAAAAAAAUUAAUAGUUUUUAAAGUUAAACAUUAAAAAUUAAUUAAUUGGAUUAGAUACCCAACUAAAAAAACUUUUUAGUAAUAAACUUAUAUAGUUAAACUAGAAACUUUUUGGCGGUAAAAUAUUAUAAUUAAAGGGUCUUGAUUAUUAAUAGAAAGCACACAAUAAAAGAAACUUUAAAUUAUAAAUUUAUUUAUCUCCGUAAAAUGAAUUAUUAUUUUUUUUUUAAAAAAAAAAUUAAAAUUUACAGGUCAAGAUAUAAUUAAAAUUAAAGGAUAAUUUAGACACAAAAAAAUGUUAUUAAAAAAAGAAUUUAAAAGUAAAUAUUUUUUUUUAAAAAAAAAUGAAAUAUUUAUUUUAUGUACAUAUUGCCCAUCACUUUCAUUUAUAAAAUGAAAUAAGUUGAAACAUAGUAGAAAUAUAAGAAUAUGUUUCUAA